This is a non-coding RNA of Gossypium arboreum, 107 nucleotides long. NCBI's taxonomy places the organism in Eukaryota, Viridiplantae, Streptophyta, Magnoliopsida, Malvales, Malvaceae. The record is from Rfam.
AUUCCAUGAUGAGGACAUUUACGAAGUAACUCCUUGAAUUGCUCCCAAGCCUUAUACAAAGACUUACCAUCCAAUUGUUGAAAAGUGGUGAUAUCGUUCCUCAACUU